RNAcentral lists this ribosomal RNA (305 nucleotides) under uncultured bacterium. RNAcentral describes it as "bacterial SSU rRNA". It matches the Rfam family "Bacterial small subunit ribosomal RNA", at positions 333 to 636 of the family's 1533-position model. The record is from RNAcentral.
AUGCCCUACGGGAGGCAGCAGUGAGGAAUAUUGGUCAAUGGCCGGAAGGCUGAACCAGCCAAGUCGCGUGAGGGAAUAAGGCCCUAUGGGUCGUAAACCUCUUUUGUCAGGGAGCAAAGGCGUCCACGAGUGGACGAAAGGAGAGUACCUGAAGAAAAAGCAUCGGCUAACUCCGUGCCAGCAGCCGCGGUAAUACGGAGGAUGCGAGCGUUAUCCGGCUUUAUUGGGUUUAAUGGGUGCUUAGGCGGCGUGUCAAGUCAGCGGUAAAAUUUCGGGGCUCAACCCCGUCGUUCCGUUGAUACUCC